RNAcentral lists this long non-coding RNA (268 nucleotides) under Sorghum bicolor (sorghum). RNAcentral describes it as "long non-coding RNA (SBIC_LNC008463)". Lineage: Eukaryota; Viridiplantae; Streptophyta; Magnoliopsida; Poales; Poaceae. The record is from RNAcentral.
UACGAGGAAAUAAAAAGGGCAAGUGCCCGGAACCUCGAAGAAGAGAAAAAGUGAGACGAGAGGUAAAAAUGGACAAGUGUCCGACAGUAGAAUUAGGGGUACAAGAUACCCACCUGAGAGGAAAGAAAAAGAAAAUAUAGAGCAUCUCCUUCUCCUCAAAAAGCUUCAAGUGCAAGAAAGGUAUGUAUCCCCUUAAAAGAGCAAAAGUAGAAUUAGACUUUCACCAUUGUUAUCACCAUCAUCACCAUACACCAUUCACUCGCCACAC